AACAUCGCGCACCUGCGGGAACCUGCGGAAGGAUCAUUAUUGGUAUUUAAGAUGUGCUGACUUUGUAAAGGAGUAUUGUGCACUCUAAAAUUCAUUUUGGUUUUCUCUGUGCACUUGUUAGUAGGCCCAAAGAAAAAUAAAAAGAGAGAGUUGGGUUUCAAGGGGAACUUGAACAUAUCCUUUUUAUUUUCUCUUGGUGUCCUAUGCACUUGUACUAAAAUGCUUUUUAUGAUUGAAUAC
Molecule: unclassified non-coding RNA, 240 nt
Filed under: soil metagenome
Description: partial contains 5.8S ribosomal RNA, internal transcribed spacer 2, and large subunit ribosomal RNA
Source: RNAcentral